GAGUUUGAUCCUGGCUCAGGAUGAACGCUGGCGGCGUGCAUAACACAUUCAAGUCGAACGGACUUAAUUGAUUCGGUAAUUAAGUUAGUGGCGGACGGGUGAGUAACGCGUGAGUAACCUGCCUAUCUGAGGGGAAUAACACAGGGAAACUUGUGCUAAUACCGCAUAACGUACAGAUAUCGCAUGAUAACUGUACCAAAGAGCAAUCGCAGAUAGAUGGACUCGCGUCUGAUUAGAUAGUUGGCAGGGUAACGGCCUACCAAGUCUACGAUCAGUAGCCGAACUGAGAGGUUGAACGGCCACAUUGGAACUGAGAAACGGUCCAGACUCCUACGGGAGGCAGCAGUGGGGAAUAUUGGGCAAUGGACGAAAGUCUGACCCAGCGACGCCGCGUGAGGGAAGAAGGUCUUCGGAUUGUAAACCUCUGUUGACAGGGAAGAAGGAAGUGACGGUACCUGUCGAGGAAGCCACGGCUAACUACGUGCCAGCAGCCGCGGUAAUACGUAGGUGGCAAGCGUUAUCCGGAAUUACUGGGUGUAAAGGGUGUGUAGGCGGGACUGCAAGUCAGAUGUGAAAACUAUUGGCUUAACCAAUAGCCUGCAUUUGAAACUGUGGUUCUUGAGUGUCGGAGAGGUAAAUGGAAUUCCUGGUGUAGCGGUGAAAUGCGUAG
This 670-nucleotide ribosomal RNA is filed under the name uncultured bacterium. RNAcentral describes it as "bacterial SSU rRNA". It matches the Rfam family "Bacterial small subunit ribosomal RNA", at positions 9 to 693 of the family's 1533-position model. The record is from RNAcentral.